RNAcentral lists this transfer RNA (39 nucleotides) under Crotalus pricei pricei. RNAcentral's name for it is "partial tRNA-Ser". Lineage: Eukaryota; Metazoa; Chordata; Lepidosauria; Squamata; Viperidae. The record is from RNAcentral.
GAGAGGUUUAGAAGACCUGCUAACUCUUCAAUUGGCAAA